GCAUUAGUAGCUCAGCGCCAGAGCGCCGGCCUUGUAAGCCGGACGUCGGAGGCUAAAAUCCUCCCUGUUGCU
RNAcentral lists this transfer RNA (72 nucleotides) under Diploprion bifasciatus. RNAcentral describes it as "tRNA-Thr". It matches the Rfam family "tRNA". Rfam says of the family: Transfer RNA (tRNA) molecules are approximately 80 nucleotides in length. Their secondary structure includes four short double-helical elements and three loops (D, anti-codon, and T loops). The record is from RNAcentral. Lineage: Eukaryota; Metazoa; Chordata; Actinopteri; Perciformes; Serranidae.